UACGGGGGAUCCGAGCGUUAUCCGGAAUUAUUGGGUUUAAAGGGUGCGUAGGCGGCCAUUUAAGUCAGCGGUGAAAUUUUGCAGCUUAACUGUAACAGUGCCGUUGAUACUGUUUGGCUAGGAUUUGGUUGUAGUGUGCGGAAUGUGUGGUGUAGCGGUGAAAUGCUUAGAUAUCACACAGAACACCGAUUGCGAAGGCAGCACACUAAGUCAUUAUUGACGCUGAGGCACGAAAGUGUGGGGAUCAAACAGGAUUAGAUA
This 261-nucleotide ribosomal RNA is filed under the name uncultured prokaryote. RNAcentral's name for it is "partial 16S ribosomal RNA". It matches the Rfam family "Bacterial small subunit ribosomal RNA", at positions 524 to 784 of the family's 1533-position model. The record is from RNAcentral.